This 119-nucleotide ribosomal RNA is filed under the name Amphiprion percula (orange clownfish). Lineage: Eukaryota; Metazoa; Chordata; Actinopteri; Pomacentridae. The record is from RNAcentral.
GCUUACGGCCAUACCAGCCUGAAUACACCUGAUCUCGUCUGGUUUCGGAAGUUAAGCAGGGUCGGGCCUGGUUAGUACUUGGAUGGGAGACCGCCUGGGAAUACCAGGUGUUGUAAGCU